Molecule: small nuclear RNA, 249 nt
Filed under: Erinaceus europaeus (western European hedgehog)
Lineage: Eukaryota; Metazoa; Chordata; Mammalia; Eulipotyphla; Erinaceidae
Description: 7SK RNA
Rfam family: 7SK RNA
About the family: 7SK was discovered as an abundant small nuclear RNA in the mid-70s but a possible function has only recently been suggested. Two independent studies have found that 7SK RNA binds the CDK9/cyclin T complex (known as elongation factor P-TEFb). P-TEFb activates transcription by phosphorylating the C-terminal domain of RNA polymerase II.
Source: Rfam by way of RNAcentral
GGAUAUGAGGGCUAUGACAUCUGUCACCCCAUUGAUCUCCAGGGUUGAUUCGGCUGAUCUGACUGGCUAGACGGGUAUCCCCUUCCUCCCUCACCACUCCAUGUGCAUCCCUCCCAAAGCUGUGCACUGGGUGAAGAGGAUGGCAGUGGUGUACCUGGUUAAGCACACACAUUACAGUGUGUAAGGAUGCAGGUUCAAGCUCCUAGGCCCCACCUGCAGGGGGAAGCUUCACAAAUGGUGAAGCAGUGC